Molecule: ribosomal RNA, 1529 nt
Filed under: Escherichia coli
Lineage: Bacteria; Pseudomonadati; Pseudomonadota; Gammaproteobacteria; Enterobacterales; Enterobacteriaceae
Description: bacterial LSU rRNA
Rfam family: Bacterial large subunit ribosomal RNA
Source: RNAcentral
AAGGCUGAGGCGUGAUGACGAGGCACUACGGUGCUGAAGCAACAAAUGCCCUGCUUCCAGGAAAAGCCUCUAAGCAUCAGGUAACAUCAAAUCGUACCCCAAACCGACACAGGUGGUCAGGUAGAGAAUACCAAGGCGCUUGAGAGAACUCGGGUGAAGGAACUAGGCAAAAUGGUGCCGUAACUUCGGGAGAAGGCACGCUGAUAUGUAGGUGAAGUCCCUCGCGGAUGGAGCUGAAAUCAGUCGAAGAUACCAGCUGGCUGCAACUGUUUAUUAAAAACACAGCACUGUGCAAACACGAAAGUGGACGUAUACGGUGUGACGCCUGCCCGGUGCCGGAAGGUUAAUUGAUGGGGUUAGCCGCAAGNGCUGCAACUGUUUAUUAAAAACACAGCACUGUGCAAACACGAAAGUGGACGUAUACGGUGUGACGCCUGCCCGGUGCCGGAAGGUUAAUUGAUGGGGUUAGCGCAANAGUCGAAGAUACCAGCUGGCUGCAACUGUUUAUUAAAAACACAGCACUGUGCAAACACGAAAGUGGACGUAUACGGUGUGACGCCUGCCCGGUGCCGGAAGGUUAAUUGAUGGGGUUAGCCGCAAGGCGAAGCUCUUGAUCGAAGCCCCGGUAAACGGCGGCCGUAACUAUAACGGUCCUAAGGUAGCGAAAUUCCUUGUCGGGUAAGUUCCGACCUGCACGAAUGGCGUAAUGAUGGCCAGGCUGUCUCCACCCGAGACUCAGUGAAAUUGAACUCGCUGUGAAGAUGCAGUGUACCCGCGGCAAGACGGAAAGACCCCGUGAACCUUUACUAUAGCUUGACACUGAACAUUGAGCCUUGAUGUGUAGGAUAGGUGGGAGGCUUUGAAGUGUGGACGCCAGUCUGCAUGGAGCCGACCUUGAAAUACCACCCUUUAAUGUUUGAUGUUCUAACGUUGACCCGUAAUCCGGGUUGCGGACAGUGUCUGGUGGGUAGUUUGACUGGGGCGGUCUCCUCCUAAAGAGUAACGGAGGAGCACGAAGGUUGGCUAAUCCUGGUCGGACAUCAGGAGGUUAGUGCAAUGGCAUAAGCCAGCUUGACUGCGAGCGUGACGGCGCGAGCAGGUGCGAAAGCAGGUCAUAGUGAUCCGGUGGUUCUGAAUGGAAGGGCCAUCGCUCAACGGAUAAAAGGUACUCCGGGGAUAACAGGCUGAUACCGCCCAAGAGUUCAUAUCGACGGCGGUGUUUGGCACCUCGAUGUCGGCUCAUCACAUCCUGGGGCUGAAGUAGGUCCCAAGGGUAUGGCUGUUCGCCAUUUAAAGUGGUACGCGAGCUGGGUUUAGAACGUCGUGAGACAGUUCGGUCCCUAUCUGCCGUGGGCGCUGGAGAACUGAGGGGGGCUGCUCCUAGUACGAGAGGACCGGAGUGGACGCAUCACUGGUGUUCGGGUUGUCAUGCCAAUGGCACUGCCCGGUAGCUAAAUGCGGAAGAGAUAAGUGCUGAAAGCAUCUAAGCACGAAACUUGCCCCGAGAUGAGUUCUCCCUGACUCCUUGA